GGCGCCUGCGGCCGGGACGCGAGGCGGCCACAGCGCCCGCAGCCCGGGCGCCCCAUGUUGUUGGAUUUCCCAGGAUGCACCUCCCGCGCCCUCCGCCCGCUCGUCGCCCCGCCCCCCUCGGCGCCCCGCGCUGCUGGCUGCGGAUUCGGGAGCCGGGCCGGACGAGGGCUGCUCCGUGGACGCCCUAGCGGUGAAGAGAAGGCCUACGCGCCGGAGCACCCGCAUGGGUGCGGACAGGAGAGGGCUUGCCAGCACUGUGCCUGGAGUUCGUUACUCUGCGCUCCCGGGUUCUUUGAAGGAACUCAAACACUCGAUUCCCGCUUGUGAUUUCUUUCUCUGCGCCCCAAACCACAGACAAGGGACUGUUGCUUUGCAGUACUCGCUUCCUGCCCAAAGUUUGCUGGGCUUAGAGGAUCUGGUUCCUGCUUCCUGGGGGAGAUUUCUAUUCAAAUUGAUUCAAAUUCAAACGAAUUUUGCAGCCCUAGCUGAAUGGGCCUUUCCCAGGGGCACUUAUUAACUGUCCCCACCCCCCACCUUGGGGAUUUUCUUACUCUGGAGUUCAGAAUCUUCUAUCCCAAGAUAAAUACCGCCUCAUCAUUGAUUAGUCCAACUACCAUCUGGAUGACUUUAAUUACAAUACAUUCGAACUCACUAUGCACUUUGUUGGGGCUCUCUGCUCAAGAUGUUUAAUCUCUGCAAGACUCUACCCAAACAUUGCCUUAUCGGACUUCUAAGCUGUGUGGUGUGAGUAAUUUGAUGACUUUGAGGUCGUGCCUACCCGAACUGUUUCUCCUUAUGAGUAAUGAAAUUCAGGGAUCAUAUGAAUCGUUUGGCUUGUGAUCCAUAAGUUGAAAGUUAAAACUAACCGUGAAGCUUAGAUUUAAUGACUAUCUCUCCUUUUAAAAAAAAUCAAUAUUGGCUUAACACCUAUCACGUGCUUAGCAAAGAGAUCUCUCAAGAUAAAGACUAGCACAAAGGUUUAAGCCAAUCAGACAGGCGUAACGGAAGACCUAAUAGAGCUGAUACUCUCUAUCUCUGGUGACUAUCUAAACUUCUGUAAUACCUGCCAUUAGAUCUGCCAUCCCCUCCGAGACUGAUUUUGUUCUGAGACUAUGUUUUCCUCCUGGCGCCUUCAUUCUUUUGUUUCUAUGCUGUUUUUAGUGAAAAACCUUCUGCACCUGUGACUCUUGCAGCCUGGUCCCCCGGUGGGGAAGAAAAGAAAGUAGUGGUAAUUUACAAAUGAAUUCGAAGGUGUGGACGCAGUAGACCUUUCCAGUUUUAUGUUAAUCUCAUUAAGCAUUUACCUAGGAUAUCUUUGGAAAGUGGUUUUCCUUGAGGAAGGAAUUUGCCAAAUCUCAGAUCCAGCUGAGAAGUACGGCAAAUAUCCUCCUCCCUCUACAACAUUUACUUCCAGCAGACUGGUGAUCUGGAGUCUAAAUGAAGCAAGUCUUCACAACUAGCUAAUAUAUUUAUAAGUACUUUUGUGAGCACUAAAUUUUUGUCUCUGUGGAACGUGUGGGAAACGGAGUGGUAUGCUGUAAAUGUUUUAUAGAAUUUAGUUGGAGAUACAACCAGUAUUGAAGGGUGAGUUUACAGAUUAAAUCCAAACAAGUGGCAGUAAAACCUUUAUAGUCUUUACAACAGUAUGCAGUUUGUUUAUACCACAGAAAUCAGAGAAAAGACAUUAAGGAAAAAUUGUAGUAAUUUGAAAUAAUAUUCUUAUUUCCAUAUAUCUUCCUGAAUAAAGUUUUGUUUAACCC
Molecule: long non-coding RNA, 1760 nt
Filed under: Mus musculus (house mouse)
Lineage: Eukaryota; Metazoa; Chordata; Mammalia; Rodentia; Muridae
Description: long non-coding RNA chr2:104816918-104818678
Source: RNAcentral